RNAcentral lists this ribosomal RNA (274 nucleotides) under uncultured bacterium. Its description in RNAcentral is "partial 16S ribosomal RNA". It matches the Rfam family "Bacterial small subunit ribosomal RNA", at positions 523 to 796 of the family's 1533-position model. The record is from RNAcentral.
AUACGGGGGGUGCUAGCGUUGUUCGGAAUUACUGGGCGUAAAGGGCGCGUAGGCGGCUCUGCGAGUCGGGCGUGAAAUCCCGGGGCUCAACCCCGGAACGGCGCUCGAUACUGCGGGGCUGGAGACCGGAAGAGGAGGGUGGAAUUCCCAGUGUAGAGGUGAAAUUCGUAGAUAUUGGGAGGAACACCGGUGGCGAAAGCGGCUCUCUGGUCCGGUUCUGACGCUGAGGCGCGAAAGCGUGGGGAGCAAACAGGAUUAGAUACCCUAGUAGUCC